Molecule: long non-coding RNA, 995 nt
Filed under: Equus caballus (horse)
Lineage: Eukaryota; Metazoa; Chordata; Mammalia; Perissodactyla; Equidae
Description: lncRNA (ENSECAG00000049944.1)
Source: RNAcentral
GACUCUAAUGCAUCUAAGCUGGUAGGAAUUUUAAAUCCAGGCAGGUGCAGCUCCGAGGCACAGAAAAAUGCGGUAGGUCGUGCACGCUGCCAAGAAGCAGGGAUUUCACUUAGGGUUCAGGAUCUGCGCCCAGAAAGAACUGAAAAGUGAAGCCCUCUUCAUGCCUGUGACGUCUGUGACUCGAGACCACCUUUCCCUCCUGUCCAAGAGAAACGUGAGGAUGUUUUCCACAAGGCAGGAAGGAGGCAGCAGAGAGGCUCAAAUGGCCCAGUGAAAACACGACUUUUAAUUAAAAAGAAAUGUUCCCGCCACUGCCUCCACCAGUGCUGCAAACGUCCUUGCGACGAGGGCUCAUUGUGCACAAGAGAAUUAAAAUAUCCGCUUUAAGAGAAGGAAAAUCAUCUUCUGAUCAAAACACCUGUAUUUGAGUUGGGUAAAAAUUCAAGAUCAGUGCAUCUAAAGGACACAUUCAGGUUAAAGAAUUAAAGGAGACAAAGACUUUCUGAGUUACGUUGCAGAAGAUGAGACGGCAAAGGAGAUAAAGAAGAAAUGUCAGAGAAGUGGGAGGAAAACCCCGUGUCUAGGAAGCCAGGAGGAACUCACAUCUCACAAGUUUAACAAGGAUACCACACUCCAUUUAGUUAUCAGAUCUCCUUAGACUUCUCCAGACUGUGACAGCUUCUUAGACUUUUCUUGUUCUUGAUGACCUCAAUGGAGAAAUAUUGGCCAUGUAAGAUGUAGAAUGUCCCUCUAAUGGGAUUUGUUUGAUGUUUUCCUCAUUAUAAAUUGGGCUAUGGGUUUGGGGGAGGAAAACCAGAGAUAAAGUGCCAUUUUUAUCACAUAUUAUCAAGGGUACAUGUUAUCAACGUGCUCCUUACUGUUAAUGUUGAUCUUGUCACCCAGCUGAGGGAGUGUUUGUCAGAGUUUUCCACUAUAGUGUUACUUUUUUCCUUCUUUGUUCUGUACUCUGUGGAAGGAAGCCACUAUGCACAGCC